Gossypium hirsutum (cotton) is the source of this 119-nucleotide non-coding RNA. NCBI's taxonomy places the organism in Eukaryota, Viridiplantae, Streptophyta, Magnoliopsida, Malvales, Malvaceae. The record is from Rfam.
GGGUGCAAUCAUACCAGCACUAAUGCACCGGAUCCCAUCAGAACUCCGCAGUUAAGUGUACUUGGGCGAGAUUAGUACUAGUUUGGGUGACCUCCAGGGAAGUCCUCAUGUUGCACCCC